Molecule: long non-coding RNA, 578 nt
Filed under: Homo sapiens (human)
Lineage: Eukaryota; Metazoa; Chordata; Mammalia; Primates; Hominidae
Description: non-protein coding LINC00844:10
Source: RNAcentral
AUAAAAGAGCAAUGAAUGGAGUACUUCAACGCCUAAAUACCUGACGUGUGACAGCAAAUGCCUGUUCCCAUGGAGCUGCUGCUUCUGAGAAAGCUUGAAACAGACAAAGAAUAAGGUAGAAAUGACCUCCUCACUAGAGAUGAAAAGAAGCUGUCCUGGUGAGGAAAUUGGAUCCCAGCUUUUGCCGCUAAGAUUCUUCUCUUCUGCCUCUGGUUUUCUUUAUUGUUCACCCCCAGAAGCAAUCGCUCUCUCACAAGGCAACACACGCAAUAGAGUGAACAGUGAUUCUACAGUCUGAUUCUGGAAAAGGCGACCACAGUGGAAAGAGUGAUCCACACAAGUAUAGGGCCUCCUGAUUAAAACACUAAGAUUUCAUCUCACGCUGUGCCUUUAUACUGUUGAGAUACUAAAGAGGACACUAAAGAUCAAAGUGCUACUUUACAACAUUUUGAAGAAAACAACUGCUACCUGUGUAUUAGUUUGUGCAGAUGUGUUACACAGCUUAGCUGUGUCUGUACCAGUUUAUUAGAAUCAAAGUAUUUUUAAAGUACCUAAGGCCAGGCACAGUGGCUCACACC